Molecule: ribosomal RNA, 497 nt
Filed under: uncultured bacterium
Lineage: Bacteria
Description: partial 16S ribosomal RNA
Rfam family: Bacterial small subunit ribosomal RNA
Source: RNAcentral
GAUGAACGCUGGCGGCGUGCCUAAUACAUGCAAGUCGAGCGAACAGACGAGGAGCUUGCUCCUCUGACGUUAGCGGCGGACGGGUGAGUAACACGUGGAUAACCUACCUAUAAGACUGGGAUAACUUCGGGAAACCGGAGCUAAUACCGGAUAAUAUAUUGAACCGCAUGGUUCAAUAGUGAAAGACGGUUUUGCUGUCACUUAUAGAUGGAUCCGCGCCGCAUUAGCUAGUUGGUAAGGUAACGGCUUACCAAGGCAACGAUGCGUAGCCGACCUGAUAGGGUGAUCGGCCACACUGGAACUGAGACACGGUCCAGACUCCUACGGGAGGCAGCAGUAGGGAAUCUUCCGCAAUGGGCGAAAGCCUGACGGAGCAACGCCGCGUGAGUGAUGAAGGUCUUCGGAUCGUAAAACUCUGUUAUUAGGGAAGAACAAAUGUGUAAGUAACUAUGCACGCCUUGACGGUACCUAAUCAGAAAGCCACGGCUAACUACGUG